GACGAACGCUGGCGGCGUGCCUAAUACAUGCAAGUAGAACGCUGAAGAGAGGAGCUUGCUCUUCUUGGAUGAGUUGCGAACGGGUGAGUAACGCGUAGGUAACCUGCCUUGUAGCGGGGGAUAACUAUUGGAAACGAUAGCUAAUACCGCAUAACAAUGAGUGACACAUGUCAUUUAUUUGAAAGGGGCAAUUGCUCCACUACAAGAUGGACCUGCGUUGUAUUAGCUAGUAGGUGAGGUAACGGCUCACCUAGGCGACGAUACAUAGCCGACCUGAGAGGGUGAUCGGCCACACUGGGACUGAGACACGGCCCAGACUCCUACGGGAGGCAGCAGUAGGGAAUCUUCGGCAAUGGGGGCAACCCUGACCGAGCAACGCCGCGUGAGUGAAGAAGGUUUUCGGAUCGUAAAGCUCUGUUGUAAGUCAAGAACGAGUGUGAGAGUGGAAAGUUCACACUGUGACGGUAGCUUACCAGAAAGGGACGGCUAACUACGUGCCAGCAGCCGCGGUAAUACGUAGGUCCCGAGCGUUGUCCGGAUUUAUUGGGCGUAAAGCGAGCGCAGGCGGUUUGAUAAGUCUGAAGUUAAAGGCUGUGGCUCAACCAUAGUUCGCUUUGGAAACUGUCAAACUUGAGUGCAGAAGGGGAGAGUGGAAUUCCAUGUGUAGCGGUGAAAUGCGUAGAUAUAUGGAGGAACACCGGUGGCGAAAGCGGCUCUCUGGUCUGUAACUGACGCUGAGGCUCGAAAGCGUGGGGAGCGAACAGGAUUAGAUACCCUGGUAGUCCACGCCGUAAACGAUGAGUGCUAGGUGUUGGAUCCUUUCCGGGAUUCAGUGCCGCAGCUAACGCAUUAAGCACUCCGCCUGGGGAGUACGACCGCAAGGUUGAAACUCAAAAGGAAUUGACGGGGGCCCGCACAAGCGGUGGAGCAUGUGGUUUAAUUCGAAGCAACGCGAAGAACCUUACCAGGUCUUGACAUCCCGAUGCUAUUUCUAGAGAUAGAAAGUUACUUCGGUACAUCGGUGACAGGUGGUGCAUGGUUGUCGUCAGCUCGUGUCGUGAGAUGUUGGGUUAAGUCCCGCAACGAGCGCAACCCCUAUUGUUAGUUGCCAUCAUUCAGUUGGGCACUCUAGCGAGACUGCCGGUAAUAAACCGGAGGAAGGUGGGGAUGACGUCAAAUCAUCAUGCCCCUUAUGACCUGGGCUACACACGUGCUACAAUGGUUGGUACAACGAGUUGCGAGUCGGUGACGGCAAGCUAAUCUCUUAAAGCCAAUCUCAGUUCGGAUUGUAGGCUGCAACUCGCCUACAUGAAGUCGGAAUCGCUAGUAAUCGCGGAUCAGCACGCCGCGGUGAAUACGUUCCCGGGCCUUGUACACACCGCCCGUCACACCACGAGAGUUUGUAACACCCGAAGUCGGUGAGGUAACCUUUUGGAGCCAGCCGCCUAAGGUGGGAUAGAUGAUUGGGGUG
Molecule: ribosomal RNA, 1471 nt
Filed under: Streptococcus salivarius
Lineage: Bacteria; Bacillati; Bacillota; Bacilli; Lactobacillales; Streptococcaceae
Description: bacterial SSU rRNA
Rfam family: Bacterial small subunit ribosomal RNA
Source: RNAcentral